UCUGGGGAUAUGAUUGGUUAAUGUGCUACACGUGGUGACUAUGUAUAUUUGAUAUAGGGUGUCCUAAAAAAUACAUGGUUAGUUACCAUAUAGGCUUAGCAACCAUAUGGGGUAAUAUAAGGAGUUACUUCCCUUUCAAAACAAAACAAAUGCUACAACCCUUUAUAAGAACAACACAGUGUUGAGGAAUAAUCUGAAAGGAUUCAACAGACGAAGAAAUUGAUGAUGAAAGGUUGAAAUAAGUUCAUAAAACAAUUAAAGUUAACAAGUUUUUGUUGGCAUACCGGAGUUACUUCCCUUUCAAAACAGAAAAAGAAAUCUGAAAGGAUUCAACAGAAAAAGAAAU
Molecule: long non-coding RNA, 346 nt
Filed under: Mytilus galloprovincialis (Mediterranean mussel)
Lineage: Eukaryota; Metazoa; Mollusca; Bivalvia; Mytilida; Mytilidae
Source: RNAcentral